RNAcentral lists this small RNA (69 nucleotides) under Neotamlana nanhaiensis. RNAcentral describes it as "Tamlana nanhaiensis Flavo-1 RNA". It matches the Rfam family "Flavo-1 RNA". Lineage: Bacteria; Pseudomonadati; Bacteroidota; Flavobacteriia; Flavobacteriales; Flavobacteriaceae. The record is from Rfam by way of RNAcentral.
GUGCAUUAGGGAUUGCAGUGAAAAUCCUUUUGCCUAAGCAAAAGAUUGCAACGAAAAGCCCGACCGCGC